UUUCUCCCUACACUACACCCUCUCCACCAGUCCUGCCCCAUUUCCUCCCUCAGCAACCCCCUUUAUGCACACACAACUUCAGUUAAGAAUAAGGACUCAUCAGGACAUUCAUAUUACAUGGGUGGCUAGGAGCCAGGACGCCUGGGUUUCAUCCCAAUUCUGAAAAUAAUAGAGCUAUUCUUUUGUUUGUAAGAGCUCAGAAAGACUACAAUAGGCUCUUAAAAGGGAGUCUCUUUCUGCUGGGCUCUGACUUGCCAUCUGUACUACUGGCAAGAGACCUGCUGCCCCCUUGUGAUCAAAGGUGAGUACUGCAAAAGUGGUGUAUCCUAAGUAGCCUCCUGACUCCUCCACCUUUGGGCCCAGCCAGGGUUUGGAAAGACAGUACCUGGAG
Molecule: long non-coding RNA, 391 nt
Organism: Alligator mississippiensis (American alligator)
Lineage: Eukaryota; Metazoa; Chordata; Crocodylia; Alligatoridae
Exons: 3
Source: RefSeq, a predicted model, not a curated record